GUCGAGCGGAUGAGUGGAGCUUGCUCCAUGAUUCAGCGGCGGACGGGUGAGUAAUGCCUAGGAAUCUGCCUGGUAGUGGGGGAUAACGUUUCGAAAGGAACGCUAAUACCGCAUACGUCCUACGGGAGAAAGUGGGGGAUCUUCGGACCUCACGCUAUCAGAUGAGCCUAGGUCGGAUUAGCUAGUUGGUGGGGUAAUGGCCCACCAAGGCGACGAUCCGUAACUGGUCUGAGAGGAUGAUCAGUCACACUGGAACUGAGACACGGUCCAGACUCCUACGGGAGGCAGCAGUGGGGAAUAUUGGACAAUGGGCGAAAGCCUGAUCCAGCCAUGCCGCGUGUGUGAAGAAGGUCUUCGGAUUGUAAAGCACUUUAAGUUGGGAGGAAGGGCAGUAAGUUAAUACCUUGCUGUUUUGACGUUACCAACAGAAUAAGCACCGGCUAACUUCGUGCCAGCAGCCGCGGUAAUACGAAGGGUGCAAGCGUUAAUCGGAAUUACUGGGCGUAAAGCGCGCGUAGGUGGUUCAGCAAGUUGGAUGUGAAAGCCCCGGGCUCAACCUGGGAAUUGCAUCCAAAACUACUGAGCUAGAGUACGGUAGAGGGUGGUGGAAUUUCCUGUGUAGCGGUGAAAUGCGUAGAUAUAGGAAGGAACACCAGUGGCGAAGGCGACCACCUGGACUGAUACUGACACUGAGGUGCGAAAGCGUGGGGAGCAAACAGGAUUAGAUACCCUGGUAGUCCACGCCGUAAACGAUGUCGACUAGCCGUUGGGAUCCUUGAGAUCUUAGUGGCGCAGCUAACGCGAUAAGUCGACCGCCUGGGGAGUACGGCCGCAAGGUUAAAACUCAAAUGAAUUGACGGGGGGCCCGCACAAGCGGUGGAGCAUGUGGGUUUAUU
Molecule: ribosomal RNA, 896 nt
Filed under: Pseudomonas aeruginosa
Lineage: Bacteria; Pseudomonadati; Pseudomonadota; Gammaproteobacteria; Pseudomonadales; Pseudomonadaceae
Description: bacterial SSU rRNA
Rfam family: Bacterial small subunit ribosomal RNA
Source: RNAcentral